RNAcentral lists this transfer RNA (74 nucleotides) under Alphaproteobacteria bacterium. RNAcentral describes it as "tRNA-Cys". It matches the Rfam family "tRNA". Rfam says of the family: Transfer RNA (tRNA) molecules are approximately 80 nucleotides in length. Their secondary structure includes four short double-helical elements and three loops (D, anti-codon, and T loops). The record is from RNAcentral. RNAcentral also lists the same sequence under 1 other name. Lineage: Bacteria; Pseudomonadati; Pseudomonadota; Alphaproteobacteria.
GGCCAGGUGGCAGAGUGGUUAUGCAGAGGACUGCAAAUCCUUGUAUGCCGGUUCGAUUCCGACCCUGGCCUCCA